UGUAGUCAUUAUGCUUGUCUCAAAGAUUAAGCCAUGCAUGUCUAAGUAUAAGCAACUUGUACUGUGAAACUGCGAAUGGCUCAUUAAAUCAGUUAUCGUUUAUUUGAUAGUACCUUACUACAUGGAUACCUGUGGUAAUUCUAGAGCUAAUACAUGCUAAAAACCCCGACUUCAGGAAGGGGUGUAUUUAUUAGAUAAAAAACCAACGCCCUUCGGGGCUCCUUGGUGAAUCAUAAUAACUUAACGAAUCGCAUGGCCUUGCGCCGGCGAUGGUUCAUUCAAAUUUCUGCCCUAUCAACUUUCGAUGGUAGGAUAGUGGCCUACCAUGGUGGCAACGGGUAACGGGGAAUUAGGGUUCGAUUCCGGAGAGGGAGCCUGAGAAACGGCUACCACAUCCAAGGAAGGCAGCAGGCGCGCAAAUUACCCAAUCCCGAUACGGGGAGGUAGUGACAAUAAAUACUGAUACGGGGCUCUUUUGGGUCUCGUAAUUGGAAUGAGAACAAUU
This 505-nucleotide ribosomal RNA is filed under the name Penicillium chrysogenum. RNAcentral's name for it is "SSU rRNA". It matches the Rfam family "Eukaryotic small subunit ribosomal RNA", at positions 27 to 525 of the family's 1831-position model. Lineage: Eukaryota; Fungi; Ascomycota; Eurotiomycetes; Eurotiales; Aspergillaceae. The record is from RNAcentral.